This 468-nucleotide ribosomal RNA is filed under the name uncultured bacterium. Its description in RNAcentral is "partial 16S ribosomal RNA". It matches the Rfam family "Bacterial small subunit ribosomal RNA", at positions 28 to 507 of the family's 1533-position model. The record is from RNAcentral.
GACGAACGCUGGCGGCGUGCUUAACACAUGCAAGUCGAACGGAAAGGCCCUGCUUUUGUGGGGUGCUCGAGUGGCGAACGGGUGAGUAACACGUGAGUAACCUGCCCUUGACUUUGGGAUAACUUCAGGAAACUGGGGCUAAUACCGGAUAGGAGCUCCUGCUGCAUGGUGGGGGUUGGAAAGUUUCGGCGGUUGGGGAUGGACUCGCGGCUUAUCAGCUUGUUGGUGAGGUAGUGGCUUACCAAGGCUUUGACGGGUAGCCGGCCUGAGAGGGUGACCGGCCACAUUGGGACUGAGAUACGGACCAGAAUCCUACGGGAGGCAGCAGUGGGGAGUAUUGCGCAAUGGGCGGAAGCCUGAUGCAGCAGCGCCGCGUGCGGGAUGACGGCCUUCGGGUUGUAAACCGCUUUCGCCUGUGACGAAGCGUGAGUGACGGUAAUGGGUAAAGAAGCACCGGCUAACUACGUG